RNAcentral lists this ribosomal RNA (1211 nucleotides) under Chryseobacterium aquaticum. RNAcentral describes it as "bacterial SSU rRNA". It matches the Rfam family "Bacterial small subunit ribosomal RNA", at positions 89 to 1307 of the family's 1533-position model. Lineage: Bacteria; Pseudomonadati; Bacteroidota; Flavobacteriia; Flavobacteriales; Weeksellaceae. The record is from RNAcentral.
UUGAGAGCGGCGCACGGGUGCGGAACACGUGUGCAACCUGCCUUUAUCUGGGGGAUAGCCUUUCGAAAGGAAGAUUAAUACCCCAUAAUAUAUUGAGUGGCAUCACUUGAUAUUGAAAACUCCGGUGGAUAGAGAUGGGCACGCGCAAGAUUAGAUAGUUGGUGAGGUAACGGCUCACCAAGUCAAUGAUCUUUAGGGGGCCUGAGAGGGUGAUCCCCCACACUGGUACUGAGACACGGACCAGACUCCUACGGGAGGCAGCAGUGAGGAAUAUUGGACAAUGGGUGAGAGCCUGAUCCAGCCAUCCCGCGUGAAGGACGACUGCCCUAUGGGUUGUAAACUUCUUUUAUACUGGGAUAAACCUACCCUUCGUGAGGGUAGCUGAAGGUACAGUAUGAAUAAGCACCGGCUAACUCCGUGCCAGCAGCCGCGGUAAUACGGAGGGUGCAAGCGUUAUCCGGAUUUAUUGGGUUUAAAGGGUCCGUAGGCGGACUCGUAAGUCAGUGGUGAAAUCUCAUAGCUUAACUAUGAAACUGCCAUUGAUACUGCGGGUCUUGAGUAAAGUAGAAGUGGCUGGAAUAAGUAGUGUAGCGGUGAAAUGCAUAGAUAUUACUUAGAACACCAAUUGCGAAGGCAGGUCACUAUGUUUUAACUGACGCUGAUGGACGAAAGCGUGGGGAGCGAACAGGAUUAGAUACCCUGGUAGUCCACGCCGUAAACGAUGCUAACUCGUUUUUGGGUUUUCGGAUUCAGAGACUAAGCGAAAGUGAUAAGUUAGCCACCUGGGGAGUACGUUCGCAAGAAUGAAACUCAAAGGAAUUGACGGGGGCCCGCACAAGCGGUGGAUUAUGUGGUUUAAUUCGAUGAUACGCGAGGAACCUUACCAAGGCUUAAAUGGGAAUUGACAGGUUUAGAAAUAGAUCCUUCUUCGGACAAUUUUCAAGGUGCUGCAUGGUUGUCGUCAGCUCGUGCCGUGAGGUGUUAGGUUAAGUCCUGCAACGAGCGCAACCCCUGUCACUAGUUGCCAUCAUUCAGUUGGGGACUCUAGUGAGACUGCCUACGCAAGUAGAGAGGAAGGUGGGGAUGACGUCAAAUCAUCACGGCCCUUACGCCUUGGGCCACACACGUAAUACAAUGGCCGGUACAGAGGGCAGCUACUAUGCGAAUAGAUGCGAAUCUCGAAAGCCGGUCUCAGUUCGGAUUGGAGUCUG